UCCAUAUACAUUCAUGGGAGCUCCUCCCUAAGCCUUCUCUCCUCUGAUUAAACCCAGCACACAAGUCUUCUUUUUCAGAAAUGCAUCUGUGGCAGCCUGCAAUCAUUUAUUCUGUUAUUUUUGGAUUUUCCAAGGCUGAUAAAGUCUCCCAGCAUCCCUUUGUGUCAGUUCAGUGUGGGGAAAAGGUCACUUUAAACUGUACAUAUGAAACAUCAAGUACCAACCCAUACCUGCACUGGUAUAUCCAACGGCCGGGAGUGAGACCUCACUUUAUCCUACUCAGGGAUCAGUUCAGCAAGGAAGAGGAUGAACCUGGGGGAAAGUAUUCAUCAAAACUAAACAAAGAGCGCAAUUCUGUUGACCUGAGGAUCUCUGGUGUCAGUGUGUCUGACUCUGGGCUGUAUUAUUGUGCUGUGAGUGCCACAGUGUCUCUUUCUGCUGCCUCCUCUGUACAAGAAGCUCUGGUGCUCUCUGUGGUGCUGCUAUAAAUUACUCUAUAUAUGUAUGUGUCUAUGCAGCACUUAAUGGAAUGCAAAUCAUGAGACAUAGUUUUAACCAUAGCGUCUAUGGUUUUUGUCCCUCAAUAGCAGGACAUCUUUUGUGAAACAAUCAGAGGAAAGUUUAAAAAAAAUUAAUUAGUAAAUAGCUUGAAACAUACAUGUUCUAAAGAAACAGGUGAUGCAUGACAAGAUUUUAUAACAGCAUAAUGCUCUUCAUUGUUCAUACAUAUAGAGCAAUAAAAACUGACAAAAUCCACUC
This is a non-coding RNA of Xenopus laevis (African clawed frog), 759 nucleotides long. The record is from the annotation of a RefSeq genome assembly. NCBI's taxonomy places the organism in Eukaryota, Metazoa, Chordata, Amphibia, Anura, Pipidae.